RNAcentral lists this ribosomal RNA (253 nucleotides) under uncultured bacterium. Its description in RNAcentral is "partial 16S ribosomal RNA". It matches the Rfam family "Bacterial small subunit ribosomal RNA", at positions 524 to 776 of the family's 1533-position model. The record is from RNAcentral.
UACGGGGGGGGUAAGCGUUGUUCGGAAUUACUGGGCGUAAAGGGCGCGUAGGCGGCCCUCUAAGUCAGACGUGAAAUCCCUCGGCUCAACCGGGGAACUGCGUCUGAGACUGGAAGGCUUGAAUUCGGGAGAGGGAUGUGGAAUUCCAGGUGUAGCGGUGAAAUGCGUAGAUAUCUGGAGGAACACCGGUGGCGAAGGCGGCAUCCUGGACCGGCAUUGACGCUGAGGAGCGAAAGCCAGGGGAGCAAACGGG